RNAcentral lists this ribosomal RNA (2251 nucleotides) under Escherichia coli. Its description in RNAcentral is "partial 23S ribosomal RNA". It matches the Rfam family "Bacterial large subunit ribosomal RNA", at positions 612 to 2843 of the family's 2925-position model. Lineage: Bacteria; Pseudomonadati; Pseudomonadota; Gammaproteobacteria; Enterobacterales; Enterobacteriaceae. The record is from RNAcentral.
AUAAUGGGUCAGCGACUUAUAUUCUGUAGCAAGGUUAACCGAAUAGGGGAGCCGAAGGGAAACCGAGUCUUAACUGGGCGUUAAGUUGCAGGGUAUAGACCCGAAACCCGGUGAUCUAGCCAUGGGCAGGUUGAAGGUUGGGUAACACUAACUGGAGGACCGAACCGACUAAUGUUGAAAAAUUAGCGGAUGACUUGUGGCUGGGGGUGAAAGGCCAAUCAAACCGGGAGAUAGCUGGUUCUCCCCGAAAGCUAUUUAGGUAGCGCCUCGUGAAUUCAUCUCCGGGGGUAGAGCACUGUUUCGGCAAGGGGGUCAUCCCGACUUACCAACCCGAUGCAAACUGCGAAUACCGGAGAAUGUUAUCACGGGAGACACACGGCGGGUGCUAACGUCCGUCGUGAAGAGGGAAACAACCCAGACCGCCAGCUAAGGUCCCAAAGUCAUGGUUAAGUGGGAAACGAUGUGGGAAGGCCCAGACAGCCAGGAUGUUGGCUUAGAAGCAGCCAUCAUUUAAAGAAAGCGUAAUAGCUCACUGGUCGAGUCGGCCUGCGCGGAAGAUGUAACGGGGCUAAACCAUGCACCGAAGCUGCGGCAGCGACGCUGAUGCGUUGUUGGGUAGGGGAGCGUUCUGUAAGCCUGCGAAGGUGUGCUGUGAGGCAUGCUGGAGGUAUCAGAAGUGCGAAUGCUGACAUAAGUAACGAUAAAGCGGGUGAAAAGCCCGCUCGCCGGAAGACCAAGGGUUCCUGUCCAACGUUAAUCGGGGCAGGGUGAGUCGACCCCUAAGGCGAGGCCGAAAGGCGUAGUCGAUGGGAAACAGGUUAAUAUUCCUGUACUUGGUGUUACUGUGAAGGGGGGACGGAGAAGGCUAUGUUGGCCGGGCGACGGUUGUCCCGGUUUAAGCGUGUAGGCUGGUUUUCCAGGCAAAUCCGGAAAACUAAGGCUGAGGCGUGAUGACGAGGCACUACGGUGCUGAAGCAACAAAUGCCCUGCUUCCAGGAAAAGCCUCUAAGCAUCAGGUAACAUCAAAUCGUACCCCAAACCGACACAGGUGGUCAGGUAGAGAAUACCAAGGCGCUUGAGAGAACUCGGGUGAAGGAACUAGGCAAAAUGGUGCCGUAACUUCGGGAGAAGGCACGCUGAUAUGUAGGUGAAGUCCCUCGCGGAUGGAGCUGAAAUCAGUCGAAGAUACCAGCUGGCUGCAACUGUUUAUUAAAAACACAGCACUGUGCAAACACGAAAGUGGACGUAUACGGUGUGACGCCUGCCCGGUGCCGGAAGGUUAAUUGAUGGGGUCAGCGCAAGCGAAGCUCUUGAUCGAAGCCCCGGUAAACGGCGGCCGUAACUAUAACGGUCCUAAGGUAGCGAAAUUCCUUGUCGGGUAAGUUCCGACCUGCACGAAUGGCGUAAUGAUGGCCAGGCUGUCUCCACCCGAGACUCAGUGAAAUUGAACUCGCUGUGAAGAUGCAGUGUACCCGCGGCAAGACGGAAAGACCCCGUGAACCUUUACUAUAGCUUGACACUGAACAUUGAGCCUUGAUGUGUAGGAUAGGUGGGAGGCUUUGAAGUGUGGACGCCAGUCUGCAUGGAGCCGACCUUGAAAUACCACCCUUUAAUGUUUGAUGUUCUAACGUUGACCCGUAAUCCGGGUUGCGGACAGUGUCUGGUGGGUAGUUUGACUGGGGCGGUCUCCUCCUAAAGAGUAACGGAGGAGCACGAAGGUUGGCUAAUCCUGGUCGGACAUCAGGAGGUUAGUGCAAUGGCAUAAGCCAGCUUGACUGCGAGCGUGACGGCGCGAGCAGGUGCGAAAGCAGGUCAUAGUGAUCCGGUGGUUCUGAAUGGAAGGGCCAUCGCUCAACGGAUAAAAGGUACUCCGGGGAUAACAGGCUGAUACCGCCCAAGAGUUCAUAUCGACGGCGGUGUUUGGCACCUCGAUGUCGGCUCAUCACAUCCUGGGGCUGAAGUAGGUCCCAAGGGUAUGGCUGUUCGCCAUUUAAAGUGGUACGCGAGCUGGGUUUAGAACGUCGUGAGACAGUUCGGUCCCUAUCUGCCGUGGGCGCUGGAGAACUGAGGGGGGCUGCUCCUAGUACGAGAGGACCGGAGUGGACGCAUCACUGGUGUUCGGGUUGUCAUGCCAAUGGCACUGCCCGGUAGCUAAAUGCGGAAGAGAUAAGUGCUGAAAGCAUCUAAGCACGAAACUUGCCCCGAGAUGAGUUCUCCCUGACUCCUUGAGAGUCCUGAAGGAACGUUGAAG